GGGUAGGUAUGCAAACUGGUGAAGCAAGUAGUCUGUAAAACUAUGACGUAAGAUACAUUGGGAGUUCAAAUCUCUCCCUACCCACCA
This 87-nucleotide transfer RNA is filed under the name Bacillus sp. M6-12. RNAcentral's name for it is "tRNA-Tyr". It matches the Rfam family "tRNA". From Rfam's summary of the family: Transfer RNA (tRNA) molecules are approximately 80 nucleotides in length. Their secondary structure includes four short double-helical elements and three loops (D, anti-codon, and T loops). Lineage: Bacteria; Bacillati; Bacillota; Bacilli; Caryophanales; Bacillaceae. The record is from RNAcentral.